UGGCUCAGUUGGUGGAGCGUGUGGCUCUUGAUCUCAGGGUUGUGGGUUCAAGCCCCAC
This 58-nucleotide transfer RNA is filed under the name Ailuropoda melanoleuca (giant panda). It matches the Rfam family "tRNA", at positions 8 to 63 of the family's 71-position model. From Rfam's summary of the family: Transfer RNA (tRNA) molecules are approximately 80 nucleotides in length. Their secondary structure includes four short double-helical elements and three loops (D, anti-codon, and T loops). Further hydrogen bonds mediate the characteristic L-shaped molecular structure. tRNAs have two regions of fundamental functional importance: the anti-codon, which is responsible for specific mRNA codon recognition, and the 3' end, to which the tRNAs corresponding amino acid is attached (by aminoacyl-tRNA synthetases). tRNAs cope with the degeneracy of the genetic code in two manners: having more than one tRNA (with a specific anti-codon) for a particular amino acid; and 'wobble' base-pairing, i.e. permitting non-standard base-pairing at the 3rd anti-codon position. The record is from Rfam by way of RNAcentral. Lineage: Eukaryota; Metazoa; Chordata; Mammalia; Carnivora; Ursidae.